This 396-nucleotide ribosomal RNA is filed under the name uncultured bacterium. Its description in RNAcentral is "bacterial SSU rRNA". It matches the Rfam family "Bacterial small subunit ribosomal RNA", at positions 75 to 507 of the family's 1533-position model. The record is from RNAcentral.
GUCCUUCGGGAUGAGUAGAGUGGCGGACGGGUGAGUAACGCGUAGGAAUCUAUCCUGUAGUGGGGGAUAACGUUUCGAAAGGAACGCUAAUACCGCAUACGCCCCUCGGGGGAAAGGCUUGCUGCUGCUGGAGGAGCCCGCGUCGGAUUAGGUAGUUGGUGGGGUAACGGCCUACCAAGCCUGUGAUCCGUAGCUGGUCUGAGAGGAUGAUCAGCCACACUGGGACUGAGACACGGCCCAGACUCCUACGGGAGGCAGCAGUGGGGAAUAUUGGACAAUGGGCGCAAGCCUGAUCCAGCAAUGCCGCGUGAGUGAUGAAGGCCUUCGGGUUGUAAAGCUCUUUCGCCCACGACGAUGAUGACGGUAGUGGGAGAAGAAGCCCCGGCUAACUUCGUG